CCUACGGGAGGCUGCAGUGGGGAAUAUUGCACAAUGGAGGGAACUCUGAUGCAGCGACGCCGCGUGAGUGAUGAAGGCCUUCGGGUCGUAAAACUCUGUCCUAAGGGACGAUAAUGACGGUACCUUAGGAGGAAGCCCCGGCUAACUACGUGCCAGCAGCCGCGGUAAUACGUAGGGGGCAAGCGUUGUCCGGAAUUAUUGGGCGUAAAGGGUGCGUAGGCGGCCUUUUAAGUCAGAUGUGAAAGGUCACGGCUCAACCGUGGUAAGCAUUUGAAACUGGAAGGCUUGAGUUAAGGAGAGGAAAGUGGAAUUCCUAGUGUAGCGGUGAAAUGCGUAGAUAUUAGGAGGAAUACCAGUGGCGAAGGCGACUUUCUGGCCUUUAACUGACGCUGAGGCACGAAAGCGUGGGGAGCAAACAGGAUUAGAUACCCCUGUAGUC
This 439-nucleotide ribosomal RNA is filed under the name uncultured Eubacteriales bacterium. Its description in RNAcentral is "bacterial SSU rRNA". It matches the Rfam family "Bacterial small subunit ribosomal RNA", at positions 338 to 795 of the family's 1533-position model. Lineage: Bacteria; Bacillati; Bacillota; Clostridia; Eubacteriales. The record is from RNAcentral.